GCACACUGUUCACUCAGUCGUACGCUGCGUUUGGGGAUGGCGGCGGCGGCGGUAGCAGCGAGGGGCAGAUCCAUCAUGCCGUGCUGCGUAUGUGUUUAGCUCCAGAUUUUGUCUCUCUCUAUGGAGUCGCAUUAAAAGUCAUUGAAAAGAGGGAAACGCUGAGCCGCUUUGCUGGCUGACUAGAGUCGACUCCCAGGCCUCAACCCCUGCCAGUCAGCUCCUCGCGAUCACAUGCGUGUCCUAGCCCUGUCUUCCCUCACCCCAACCAGUCCCGGCAGAUGGCCG
This is a long non-coding RNA of Oreochromis niloticus (Nile tilapia), 285 nucleotides long. RefSeq lists it as uncharacterized. The record is from RefSeq and is a predicted model, not a curated record. The transcript has 3 exons. Lineage: Eukaryota; Metazoa; Chordata; Actinopteri; Cichliformes; Cichlidae.